GAUGAACGCUGGCGGCGUGCCUAACACAUGCAAGUCGAGCGAUUCUCUUCGGAGAAGAGCGGCGGACGGGUGAGUAACGCGUGGGUAACCUGCCCUGUACACACGGAUAACAUACUGAAAGGUAUGCUAAUACGAGAUAAUAUACUUUUAUCGCAUGGUAGAAGUAUCAAAGCUUUUGCGGUAUAGGAUGGACCCGCGUCUGAUGAGCUAGUUGGUAAGGUAACGGCUUACCAAGGCGACGAUCAGUAGCCGACCUGAGAGGGUGAUCGGCCACAUUGGAACUGAGACACGGUCCAAACUCCUACGGGAGGCAGCAGUGGGGAAUAUUGCACAAUGGGCAAAAGCCUGAUGCAGCAACGCCGCGUGAGCGAUGAAGGCCUUCGGGUCGUAAAGCUCUGUCCUCAAGGAAGAUAAUGACGGUACUUGAGGAGGAAGCCCCGGCUAACUACGUGCCAGCCGCCGCCGUAA
Molecule: ribosomal RNA, 468 nt
Filed under: uncultured bacterium
Lineage: Bacteria
Description: partial 16S ribosomal RNA
Rfam family: Bacterial small subunit ribosomal RNA
Source: RNAcentral